GCGAAGGUUUCGAGAAAGAAUGAGGAGGAGGUCAGAAAUUCAAGGUUACCUUCAGUUAUUUUUUGUGUUUUAUUUGUUUAUAGUGGUGUUGAUUUUUGUUAUUGGCCAUUGUUUUGUUGUUGUGAAGGAAAUAGGAAGAACCACAAAAAUAAUUAGAAUCCAUCUAACAAGAGAACAAGAGAAACACUGAAUCUAAAAGAGUAGCAAAAUUAAAUUGGAUUUUUGCUAGU
Molecule: long non-coding RNA, 230 nt
Filed under: Lathyrus oleraceus (garden pea)
Lineage: Eukaryota; Viridiplantae; Streptophyta; Magnoliopsida; Fabales; Fabaceae
Description: Pisum sativum (pea) long non-coding RNA (PSAT_LNC033999)
Source: RNAcentral